UGAUUGAAAAGGAAAUUUCGUACGCUAAUUACGCGGACCUAUCGGCCGUGAAAUCUAGCACGACAUGGUACGAUUAAGGUACGACAGUGUGGAGUGUACGUGCACCCGAGGUCCUGCGCGCGCGAGACACUCACCUGCAUAAAGGGGGCUACGUGUAAUUUCGGCGCCUUCGAUGGACUGGGGUUAAGGCAGUCGUCUCUUCUAAUUAAUAAGCGUCCCUCAUCUGUCCCCCGAGACAAGGACCCGACCACUUAGUACAUACCUGCAUCGCGGUGAACACAAAGACACAGCAGAAUCCAAGCGUCCGUCCAUCCAUUUAUCCUUCGUCCAUCUGCGACCUCGAACAAAGAAGCCGACAUCGACAACGAGGAGGAGAAGAAAACUCGAAGAAGCCGGGCUCUCGAGUCUCGGCGAACCGAUCAAAAACUUGCCGGAAGCAUCACUCAAAGAAGCGUCCGCGAGAGACGGCAACCCUUUGACUUUCGGAUACGCAGAUGCGCGCGUCGCUGAUUAGCAUUCAGGGAAGACGUUCUCCCCACCGCGGUGUCUGACUCUUUCGUCGGCUUUUGCAUGUGCCACAUCGACAAGACGAGAAAAGGGACGGCCGCAGGCGCUGACGGCUGACGACGGCUGCCGCGACACCCCCUCGGAUUAAAGCGACGCGAGGCUGAUGUGAGCUGUUGCAAAAUGCGAGAGGCGAUGCCGCGAUCGAGCUGUUGAUGUGCUAUGCGCAAAAUAAUAAGGUGACGAUAUUGCUGCAGCUGACGAACAAAGUCGUUUGAAUCAUCGACUCCUCGUUUGUCCCUCGGCCGUCGAACUACUGCUGCUGCUGCUGUCGUCGUUGGCGCUACGAGAUAACUCGAUAAUACGGCGUCGACCGGUCGACCGCUGCGCGCCUUGUGAACCGCGAGAAUGAAGUGUCUUCGGCGUCCUCGUAAAUUUCCUGAGUUUUAUGAAAUUUUAACUGUCUUUUCUCGCGGAAGCUACGGUUGUUAUUAGCUUUUUAUCGACGCCUUCUGAUGCCGAUCCCUCAAUUAGAAGAAAGAUGGAUUUAUUUUUGAAACGCUGACGCGCUGCCAAUUAUUUUUGGAUGCAGUUGUCCAAAGGCUUCCUACAAAUCCCUAAAUCGUCGGAUAUAAUAAAGCUCUAACACCAAGCGUGCCCUGUUCGCACAUUCAUUAAUUACGACUCGCGCGUAAGCGAUAAUUAAAUCCGGCGAAGCACGAGUUUUCUCGCGCGGGUAAUGCGCGCCGACUAUUCGCAGCGCCAACCACUCAAACGGCAAUUUUCGAGCCAGAGAGGCAUUAGAGGGCCAGCUAUUAAUUUUCAAAUUACCCGCCAAAGCUUUUACCGAUCGGCGACUCAGCCAAUUUUCGUUUGACAAUAUACGGCUUUUUGAAUCAAAUAAAUUCAAAAUCCAUAAGAGUA
This 1428-nucleotide long non-coding RNA is filed under the name Nasonia vitripennis (jewel wasp). Its description in RNAcentral is "uncharacterized LOC103315655, transcript variant X3". Lineage: Eukaryota; Metazoa; Arthropoda; Insecta; Hymenoptera; Pteromalidae. The record is from RNAcentral.